Cavia porcellus (domestic guinea pig) is the source of this 3997-nucleotide long non-coding RNA. RefSeq lists it as uncharacterized. Lineage: Eukaryota; Metazoa; Chordata; Mammalia; Rodentia; Caviidae. The record is from RefSeq and is a predicted model, not a curated record. The transcript is spliced from 2 exons.
AGGCUGUGCAUGCCUGGCGUCAUCAAGGCGCGCCGCCCCGCUUGAGUCGUAGUGAGUCGUCGGAAAACGUUUGUCUAGCUUUUCUCUGCUGGCGUGCACCUUGCACCCCCGAUUCGUGCCGGGCCUCUUUAGCCGGGCGGCAGAAGCUCAAAUCCAGGGUUCAUUUCAGGCUAGGUGGGCUCAGCGCUGUGUGGCUGGCAGGCCGCGGCAGCUGGAACCCGGGCUGCAGGGCGCCCUCAGGAUCUGCAGCAUGAAGGUGCACGAGAAUGAGGAGGAAGCCUACAAGCUGCUCAGCGAAUAUAGUGACUGCACCUAGGGCCCGGAGGUACGCCUGGAGCAGGCGAACUGGCCUGAAGGCUUUUGCGGGAAGGAUAAGGACACGAGAAGACCUGCUACCUCUCUACUCCUGGACGCUUCGCCUCGCGGUGUAGUCAGGCUUGCGGACUACGCUGGGUGGGCUUAUUCUUGAUGUGGUGACCUUGACUUUUCUUUCCAUGAUUAAACCUUUUGUUGAUUGCGUUCUGCGUUCAAGCGAUGUGCUGAAGAACUUUGAGAACCAUGCACGUCUUGCCUUGUGAAGUUGUAUAUAGUAAUUUCUGCCCCAAGCCACAAACAAUACUUCUGAGGCAUCAAGGACUUGGAGCCAUCCCUGCACAGAGCCCUGCUUGCUAACAGCAGCUGGAGUUGCCUGCAGAUGCCAGAGGUCACCUGGGAACCCAGCUUAAUACAAUGACCAAGUGAAAUUCUGAGAUCUAUUCCCAGAUAGAUGGGUUGUGAACGUGAGAAGGUCAGUGAUUGUUUCAUGGCUGUGUUCUCUGUAUGUAUUUAACAUUUCAGUCCAGCUGGCCCUAUUUACCAUGCAGACAUUCCUUGAUUAACAGAUGACUAAAUACACCAUCAAACCUAUAGUGUCAGAGAGAACAUGUAGCUGGACGGGUGGAGGCGCAGGAGAGUGUGGUUUAAAGAGGUCUGGGGAGACCUUUUGGAGGAAGGGUGGUCUAUCAGGAAGGACCACCUUAUCUCCAAGAGAACAUUCUUACCUCCCGUUUUCCACUUGUCUUUGUAAUACUGUCUGAUUAAUUAUCAAGCCUACUGAGCACAGUUCAAGUUAGUUAUUCACACACUGAUUGUCACCGUUCUGCUGAAAUCAGCUGUACGGAGAGUGAGACGAUGAUGGUGGGGGAGGAGAUUUUGGAGAGUGGAAUUAGAUGAAGAAUGAGCACAGGGAGUCCACGGCAGUUGGAAAGACCCCGCUCUUCUCCCCUUGUGUGAAUGUGGAGUUUGUUGCCACUAAGCGGGAAGGAUCUGCUCAGAUGGAGUUGGUAGAGAGAGCACAGACAGCAGACGCAGACUAAGAAAUUAACUAACUUCACGUGAGUGUUUGGAUGUACAUGUACCUGUAUUCAGUGACGCCUUGGUUUACAAGCUUAAUUUGUUUUACGAUUUUGGGAAAGAUGGCUCCGUUUUAUUUGUGUAGUGAAUGGCUGUGGUCAUGUUUGUUAUCCAAUACAGAGUUUAUGAACAGAAGUAACAUUUUGCCGAACACUUUUGUGAACCAAAUUGUUUGCAAACAGAAACAUCCAUGAACUGAAGUGUUACCAUACCAUCUCACUUAUAUGAGCUAAAGGAAAUUUAACCAAGUUUAAUGGUGCAUGAAUGCAGUCCCAGCACUCUGGGAGGCUGAGGCAAGAGGAUCACAGGUUUGAGCAACUUAGUGAUUUAACAAGACCCUGGCUCAAAAUUUUAAAAAAUAAAUAAAAAUAAAAAAGAAGGGCUGGGAGGUAGCUCCACGUGAAGGCCUUAGGUUCAUUCCCCAAUACUGCAAGGGAAAUACAUUAUUUAUUUUAAUUUAAGUCCAUUUGAGUUGAGUUUCUGCUACUUGCCACCAAAAGAAUUCCAGUCUUCUUUGGGACACAACUCAUCUGUAAAGUUGAUUGCCUGGUCUAUGGUUUUGCCAUGUGUGCCGCAGUGAAAAUUCAGUGACUACUUCUGAUUUAGCUUUUAGUGAAACAGAAUUUAAAAGUAAGAAAUUGCUGUUUUGCUUAGUGAUGUUUGCCCAGCUCUCCUCGGAUUGGAUAUAAACUACUGGCCACAGUGAUUCAGCAACUGCUGGGUGCUCAAAGACUGUGCUUGCCCCUUGGAAGGGCCUGGUACGGUCCCUGCGGGGAGGAGGAGGCUGCUCACCGCACCCUCCGAGUGGAGGUCUCCCUCCCUGCCAAGUCGCUCCUUUCUAGUAAUGGCAAAAGUACAAACCCAGAGAGCUGAGGACGCCAUCAGCUCUCUGACAAACCGGAAAUACCCGUCACUGCCUCCGGGCUGUGUAAGUUUCCUCUUUUCACAACAGCAGUUUUUUCUGAUUGGCUAGGAGCUGAAGAUGACGCUGGGGAAUUAAUUUGGACAGAACAGAGAUGGAGUCUGGUACCCAUUAAGUGACUCGCACAUUACAACAUCCUACUUCUGAAAGAAAUUAAUUUUUAAACGGUAGCUCCUGGCUUAAAAUACAAAAAUAAGGUUCAAUAGAGUACAAAAAAAUUAAAUAAAAUUCCUUCCCCUAGUGCCUUGCCUGUAGAAUUUAAUCCUUGAGAACCAGUCCUCAUGGGAGGCUGUGACAUUCUCUCCAUGAAACAGCUGGUGAAAUAGCCUGGGGUUUUGGCACGUGCCCCCAUUCAUAUAGUAAGACAUGGCCGGCGUGGAAUUUGGACUCAUCUCUGGACUCAAGCAUGCCUGGUACUUUCUCCAUUUUCAUACCACUAAUUUGGAGAAGAAACAGAAGGCCACAUAGACAUUAGUUUGAGAGCAGUUAAUGCUUUUGCCAGGUGAUAGGAUACUGCCUUUUUUAUCUAUCACCUAGAAUGAAACGAACAAUGCAAUUUUUAAAUCUUUUUUCACAAAAAGAAAAUGGGUUUUGAAUAGUUGUGUAAUGAACAGCAGAAACCUGUGAAACAUCCGCUCUUCGUUUAUUGACCCACUCACAUGUUUUCUUAACCCACCUGGACAUCACAGAGUAAGAGUAAUAUUCCUCUUUCCAUGGAGCCCAGUUUAAUUUCUUGUCCUUUCUGAUUGGUACUAAUUACUCCUUAUUGAAAGGACAUGUAUAUAAAUAUGUAAAAACUCAUUUUAUGUAGCUUCUAUUGCAAUGGCAAGUGUGAACACCAAUACAACACCCAUUUAUUUGUAUUUGUAUUGAAGGGCACUGAUCAGGAUCAUUCCUAGAAUAUCAAGCCCUGAUCUCUGGUGGUCUAGGACUUAUACAGGACAAGCAAGCAGGAAGUACAGAGGCAGAAUGGCUUGCCAACUGGGGAUUAAUUUAUACAGUGUGCAUCAUAGUGAUGAGCUAUGCAGCAUAGUGACCAUUUGUUUCUAAGAAAAAGAAGCAACUGGAGCAGAAACUACUUUCUGGCAACUAAGAAACUAAAGUAUCCUGGCUGGAAGGGCACAUUUUCUGUUACACUAUAUCAUGAGAAUGAAAGUUAGGAUUCUAUCUUGGGAUGAAAACAAUGUGAUAUUUUUAUACAAUGGAAUAUUACUCAGCUAUAAAAAGGAUGGUCUUGAGGCUUCUAUAGGUAAAUAGAGGCAACUUGAGAUUAUCCUCAAGUGAAAUAAGUGAAAUAAAAUCAGACUCACAUUUGUAAUAUCAUAACGUCUCUCUAGUAUAAAAAUAAUGAUAAAAACUGAAAUUAAUAAAAUCUAAAAUGUAUAAUAAAAAUUGAGAUAAUGAAAGGGAAAGAAAGGAUAUAACUGUAUGUGUGUUUAAGUGUGCAAGAUGGAUAACCAUACUGCUAAGUUCUUGUUACUUCAUCAGACAGAAGGGUUUGUACUGUCAUUGAUUGUCCACUUUUUAUGCUUUGAUUUUGUGACUUGAGCAACUACUUCUAAGAUAACUAUAUGUAAUUUAUAUGUGAUUUCUUACUUUUUUUGAAAUUCUGCAUUAUUUCUACCCUUUUUUCUGUUUUGCUGUUUUUCUCUAAAUAAAAAAAAUCUAUUCUGUUUUGACUGA